UACGUAGGGGGCUAGCGUUGUCCGGAAUCAUUGGGCGUAAAGCGCGCGUAGGCGGUCCGGUAAGUCCGCUGUGAAAGUCGAGGGCUCAACCCUCGAAUGCCGGUGGAUACUGUCGGGCUUGAGUACGGGAGAGGCGAGUGGAAUUCCUGGUGUAGCGGUGAAAUGCGCAGAGAUCAGGAGGAACACCGAUUGCGAAGGCAGCUCGCUGGAACGUUACUGACGCUGAGACGCGAAAGCGUGGGGAGCAAACAGG
This 253-nucleotide ribosomal RNA is filed under the name uncultured bacterium. Its description in RNAcentral is "partial 16S ribosomal RNA". It matches the Rfam family "Bacterial small subunit ribosomal RNA", at positions 524 to 776 of the family's 1533-position model. The record is from RNAcentral.